CUACGGGAUGCAGCAGUGGGGAAUAUUGCACAAUGGGCGCAAGCCUGAUGCAGCAACGCCGCGUGAGUGAAGAAGGCUUUCGGGUCGUAAAGCUCUGUCCUAUGGGAAGAAACAAAUGACGGUACCAUAGGAGGAAGCCCCGGCUAACUACGUGCCAGCAGCCGCGGUAAUACGUAGGGGGCAAGCGUUAUCCGGAAUCACUGGGCGUAAAGGGUGCGUAGGCGGUCUAUCAAGUCAGGGGUGAAAGGCAAUGGCUCAACCAUUGUAAGCCUUUGAAACUGAUGGACUUGAGUGCAGGAGAGGUAAGCGGAAUUCCUAGUGUAGCGGUGAAAUGCGUAGAUAUUAGGAGGAACACCAGUGGCGAAGGCGACUUACUGGACUGUAACUGACGCUGAGGCACGAAAGCGUGGGGAGCGAACAGGAUUAGAUACCCUCGUAGUC
This 441-nucleotide ribosomal RNA is filed under the name uncultured bacterium. RNAcentral's name for it is "partial 16S ribosomal RNA". It matches the Rfam family "Bacterial small subunit ribosomal RNA", at positions 339 to 795 of the family's 1533-position model. The record is from RNAcentral.